CAAUCUGCUGCGGUUGCAGCCUCAUGCAUUUGAGGAGAGGAGGUCCGGAGGAGGAACUUGUUUCUGCCAACUCACCUCUUCAUUGCCAUCUACCAGUUCCUGCCUUUCAUUAAGCUCUGAUGCACUUGGUUCCUGUUCCUUAUAAAUAAAUAAAAAUGUGUUAACUCAA
Molecule: long non-coding RNA, 169 nt
Organism: Gadus macrocephalus (Pacific cod)
Lineage: Eukaryota; Metazoa; Chordata; Actinopteri; Gadiformes; Gadidae
Exons: 2
Source: RefSeq, a predicted model, not a curated record